This 824-nucleotide ribosomal RNA is filed under the name Gastrotheca sp. G WED-2014. Its description in RNAcentral is "partial 16S ribosomal RNA". It matches the Rfam family "Bacterial large subunit ribosomal RNA", at positions 1492 to 2569 of the family's 2925-position model. The record is from RNAcentral. Lineage: Eukaryota; Metazoa; Chordata; Amphibia; Anura; Hemiphractidae.
UUUCCUCACCACCAAUCAACCCUUCACCAAUACUGAGUGAUUCUAUACCCCUAUAGAAAUUCUUAUGUUAAAACUAGUAACAAGAAGAAGACCUUCUCUUAAAUGCACCUAUAAAUCAGAAAGGACCCACCACUGAUAAUUAACGCUUAUGAACCUAAAAUAAAAACUCAACUAGAAAACCUUACUAAACACAACGUUAACCUAACACAAGAGCAUUUCAAGAAAGAUUAAAAGAAAGAGAAGGAACUCGGCAAACAUUAACCCCGCCUGUUUACCAAAAACAUCGCCUCUUGAGAAGACGUAAGAGGUCCAGCCUGCCCAGUGACACUGUUCAACGGCCGCGGUAUCCUAACCGUGCGAAGGUAGCGUAAUCACUUGUCCUUUAAAUGGGGACUAGUAUGAACGGCACCACGAGGGUUAUACUGUCUCCUCUUUCCAAUCAGUGAAACUAAUCUUCCCGUGAAGAAGCGGGAAUAUAUCUAUAAGACGAGAAGACCCUAUGGAGCUUUAAACGAAACAACAUUUGCUAUUACACACACCCAUCCCAGGAAAUCAAUCCUUAUUAUAGCUCUAUGAUUGCCAGUUUUAGGUUGGGGUGACCGCGGAGUAAAAAAUAACCUCCACAAUGAAGGGGGGCCUCCCCUAAACAAAAAGCCACAACUUUAUGUAUCAAUAAAUUGACAUCAAUUGACCCAAUAUUUUGAUCAACGAAACAAGUUACCCUAGGGAUAACAGCGCAAUCCACUUCAAGAGCCCAUAUCGACAAGUGGGUUUACGACCUCGAUGUUGGAUCAGGGUACCCCAGUGGUGCAGCCGCUACUAAA